GCACCCCCACACUUAAAUCAUGCAUUGUCCUCAAUGUAUAAGAAAUAUAAAAGAACAAAGGAAACUGAGUACUCCCCUGGGUGUGGUGUGCAUGGUGUGAUCCACUUGAUCAAGGCUCAAGUAAUUGGAGAAGGGAAAAGAGUCCCAACUGUAUUGAGCAAAAAGUGUAGCACUCCUUUUGAUUUGGUCAUAGCCCAUCCUAUUUUCUCCAUGUACUCAUGAAGUAACAUGAUUAGCUUUUCCUCUUUCAGAUGAGGUGUG
RNAcentral lists this long non-coding RNA (261 nucleotides) under Manihot esculenta (cassava). RNAcentral describes it as "long non-coding RNA (MESC_LNC003430)". Lineage: Eukaryota; Viridiplantae; Streptophyta; Magnoliopsida; Malpighiales; Euphorbiaceae. The record is from RNAcentral.